RNAcentral lists this ribosomal RNA (119 nucleotides) under Musa acuminata subsp. malaccensis (wild Malaysian banana). Lineage: Eukaryota; Viridiplantae; Streptophyta; Magnoliopsida; Zingiberales; Musaceae. The record is from RNAcentral.
GGAUGUUACAAUACCAGCACUAAAGCACUGGAUCCCAUCAGAACUCUAAAGUUUAGCAUGCUUAGGCAAGAGUAGUACUAGGAUGGGUGACCCCCAGGGAAGUCCUCGUGUCGCACUCC